AUUGAACGCUGGCGGCAGGCUUAACACAUGCAAGUCGAGCGGGGGAAGGUAGCUUGCUACCGGACCUAGCGGCGGACGGGUGAGUAAUGCUUAGGAAUCUGCCUAUUAGUGGGGGACAACAUCUCGAAAGGGAUGCUAAUACCGCAUACGUCCUACGGGAGAAAGCAGGGGAUCUUCGGACCUUGCGCUAAUAGAUGAGCCUAAGUCGGAUUAGCUAGUUGGUGGGGUAAAGGCCUACCAAGGCGACGAUCUGUAGCGGGUCUGAGAGGGUGAUACGCAAAACUGGGACUGGGACACGGCCCCGACUCCUACGGGAGGCAGCAGUGGGGAUUAUUGGACAAUGGGGGGGACCCUGAUCUAGCCAUGCCGCAUGUGUAAAGAAGGCCUUAUGGUUGUAAAGCACUUUAAGCGAGGAGGAGGCUACUUUAGUAAAUACCUGGAGAUAGUGGACGUUACUCGCAGAAUAAGCACCGGCUAACUCUGUGCCAGCAGCCGCCGUAA
Molecule: ribosomal RNA, 501 nt
Filed under: uncultured bacterium
Lineage: Bacteria
Description: partial 16S ribosomal RNA
Rfam family: Bacterial small subunit ribosomal RNA
Source: RNAcentral